Long non-coding RNA from Lotus japonicus, 2144 nucleotides. RefSeq lists it as uncharacterized. The transcript is spliced from 4 exons. Lineage: Eukaryota; Viridiplantae; Streptophyta; Magnoliopsida; Fabales; Fabaceae. The record is from RefSeq and is a predicted model, not a curated record.
AUCUAUGCAUAGAUUUUCAAUUCAUUGCUAACAUAUUCAUGACUAUUAGCUAACAACCAGUAUGUUCAUACAAAGACCUGAGCUAACCCACUUAGGAUGUUCCUUUUAACUUCCAGCAUUACAUAAAAUGGAGUUGCUAAGAAAAAUGAGACAGUGGCUAUAAACAUUAUCAUAACAUGAACUCCGAAUCCCACUUUGGCUUCUUUCUCUCUUCCCUUCUCUUCUUCCUCCCAACCCCUAUUUCCCUCUACUAUCGACGGUUGCGACGACGACGUCUGCGGCCACAUCGUUCCCUUCCCCGAUGAACACGCCUCGUCGCCCACCAGAAACCUCUGUCACAGCGGUGAUCUAGGCCCCACAGAUCGAAGGAACUCGCCGUUACCCGAUUCCACUGUAGAGCAAGACAUGUAGAUAAUCAAUUUUUAAGGUAUCAACUGGUUAUCUCCAUUUGUUCAGAAGCAUAAAGGAAUUAACUUAUGUUCCUUGGAUGUUAAUGGAACUGUGUUUGCCUACGGAAGUACGAUGUGACGAGUAGUGGAAAGACACAUAUUUCCAAAGCAACCUAUGAGGUUGUUACGAGUAUUCAAGGUUGAGCUGACUUUGUUGGAUUCGAUCCUUUAGAUCUUCUUUUCUCUAUAGUUGAAUUAUGGAAAAAGGUUGAGCUGAUUAAGUUCAUGCUUUCUUAUUACUAGUUUGUGUCUUCUUAUUAACAAUGGUAUAUACCUGUUUUGCAACUAGGGGAUGCAGUUUUAUUAUUAGUUUAUAUUACAUACCACUGCCUCCAGGGUUAUAACCAUGAUUUUUAUGGUUUUCUUCUAAUUAGUUACUUUUUUUCUAAUUUUUUCUAAUGUGUUUACACUGACUAUCUUUUUUAUCAGAAGCAGAAAGGGUUCUUGGUGAACUAUUUGGUCAUAAUUUUCAGGUAAUAGAUUCUUACAUUUUUCAUGAUUACCCAACCUGUUGCUAUCGUUAAUAUAAUGAAGGCUACAAUAUUAGAAUGCAACAUCGCAUUAACUACUUAAUUUCUUGAAUUUCUAUUGAAGAGACAUAGGAUAAUUGGGAUGGUGUUCUGAUCCUCCUUUGCCUCCAUGUGCAGCGUAGCUAAAAUGAUAAGUACCUUAGGUAUUGGCAAAGGAAGCCAGAAACAGAGCUUACUAUGGGAAAUUAAAUGAUUGCCUUUUCUUUUUUGCAAGCUCCCUUGGGAAGCUGCCAAAGCACUAUUAUUUGCUGAAACUAUCCAAAUGCGCAUUAUGACUAAUACUACUUCAUAAUUGCAGAUUUUGAUUGCUUUUGCCCCUCAAAGUUCCUGCAUUAAGGUUAGACUAUUAAAUAUGCUUCACUGGUUGAUGGUUGGUUGAAUUGUGGUUUAACAAGAGUUAUAGUCUUGAAACAAUAUUCAUUUGUUAGCUUGUCAACUGUAGGUGUUCUAUUUGUUGAGGACCAGUUCGCUCAUUACUAAUUUGAAAUCUGAAAACAAAUUCUAAUUUUGAAAUAUCAAAAGAAAUAUAUUUCUUCUGCUAUAUUUAUUCAACUGUAACUUGGCUUGCAAGAGUUUCUUCUGGAAAAGCUGGUACCAUAGCCUAUUACAUUGAAUGACAGGUUCCAUUUACCUUAUUGGGAGCAAUUUGAUGGAUAAGUCUGGAAGAAGACUUCUUAUAACCGUAAAUAUAUUUUCAAGAACUCAUUUAUAAAUGCCCUAUAAAAGAAAAAUGAUUAAGAACUUAUAUGUUUAGCAAAGUUCUUGUAUAUAUGCAGGUUUCCCUAAGUGGACAUUCGUGGACAGCUUUAUUAUCGAAAUUCACCUUCUUGACAUCAUGAAUCAGAAUCAAGGCUCAUUGCUUGAGUGGGUGCCAACAUUAGCAAUUGCUGCUGUGUUGGUGAGCUGAUAGCGCACAAUUAUACAGUCGUUUUAUAGUUGAUAGUUUAACUAUACAGUCUUUAAAUUCCAGUUUGACUUGAAAUUCUUUGAUCUUUUUCUUUCUUGUAAUCAUAAUGUAUAACAGCAUUUUCUAUUGGGUUGGGGGUUGCUCCCUGGAUGAUAAUGUCUUGAGGUAUGCAUCAUUUGACACCAAAAUUGCAUUGGUAUGUAGCUAGACUCUUCUGGCAUAUCUGUAUUAUUAAAUAAAAGCUAGUAAAAUUUGAAA